GCGGGUAUAAUUCAGUCUGGUAGAAUGCUUGCUUGCCAUGCAAGUCGUCGCGAGUUCGAAUCUCGCUACCCGCU
Molecule: transfer RNA, 74 nt
Filed under: Xanthomonas phage X1
Lineage: Duplodnaviria; Heunggongvirae; Uroviricota; Caudoviricetes
Also listed under: 1 other name
Description: tRNA-Gly
Rfam family: tRNA
About the family: Transfer RNA (tRNA) molecules are approximately 80 nucleotides in length. Their secondary structure includes four short double-helical elements and three loops (D, anti-codon, and T loops). Further hydrogen bonds mediate the characteristic L-shaped molecular structure. tRNAs have two regions of fundamental functional importance: the anti-codon, which is responsible for specific mRNA codon recognition, and the 3' end, to which the tRNAs corresponding amino acid is attached (by aminoacyl-tRNA synthetases). tRNAs cope with the degeneracy of the genetic code in two manners: having more than one tRNA (with a specific anti-codon) for a particular amino acid; and 'wobble' base-pairing, i.e. permitting non-standard base-pairing at the 3rd anti-codon position.
Source: RNAcentral